CGGCCGCGGUACCCUAACCGUGCGAAGGUAGCAUAAUCACUUGUUCUUUAAAUGAGGACUCGUAUCAACGGCAUCACGAGGAUCCUACUGUCUCCCCCCUCUAAUCGGUGAAACUGAUCUCUCCGUGAAGAAGCGGAGAUGUACAUAUAAGACGAGAAGACCCCAUGGAGCUUUAAACCCAACAACACCCGCUCCCCUCCAAACCCUAUUAUUUACCCGGUGAUUGUUUGUUUGGUUUUAGGUUGGGGUGACCGCGGAGUAUAAGAUAUCCUCCAUGAAAAAAAGCUAACUGCCCUUAUUAGAGAAAGACACUUCCAAAAAAUAAUAAAUUAAUUUUAAAUGAUCCGACAUUCGAUCAACGAACCAAGUUACCCUGGGGAUAACAGCGCAAUCCGUCCCGAGAGCCCCUAUCGACAGGCGGGUUUACGACCUCGAUGUUGGAUCAGGGUAUCCUAGUGGUGCAGCAGCUACUAAAGGUUCGUUUGUUCAACGAUUAAAACCCUA
This 504-nucleotide ribosomal RNA is filed under the name Boophis madagascariensis (Madagascar bright-eyed frog). RNAcentral describes it as "partial 16S ribosomal RNA". It matches the Rfam family "Bacterial large subunit ribosomal RNA", at positions 1928 to 2598 of the family's 2925-position model. Lineage: Eukaryota; Metazoa; Chordata; Amphibia; Anura; Mantellidae. The record is from RNAcentral.